This 56-nucleotide non-coding RNA is filed under the name unclassified sequences. RNAcentral describes it as "S15-Flavobacteria ribosomal protein leader". It matches the Rfam family "S15-Flavobacteria ribosomal protein leader". The record is from RNAcentral.
UAUAUUUGCGCCGCUGAUAGAGCAUACAUAAUAAUCAUUUAAAUAAUAUUGGAAUG